ACGGCCGCGGUACCCUAACCGUGCAAAGGUAGCAUAAUCAUUUGUCUACUAAUUAUAGACCUGUAUGAAAGGCAAAAUGAGGGUCUAACUGUCUCUUAUAGUAAAUCAAUUAAACUGAUCUCCUAGUAAAAAAGCUAGAAUUUUAACAUAAGACCAGAAGACCCUGUGAAGCUUAAACUAAACUAUUAAAACUAAUAAUAACUACUUUCGGUUGGGGCGACCUUGGAAAAAAAAAGAACUUCCAAACACUAUGAUAUAAUCAUACACAACAGGCCAACAAGCCACCUACGACCCAGCAUAGCUGAAAAUUGAAACAAGUUACUCCAGGGAUAACAGCGCAAUCUUCUUCAAGAGCCCAUAUCAAAAAGAAGGUUUACGACCUCGAUGUUGGAUCAGGACAUCCUAAUGGUGCAGCAGCUAUUAAGGGUUCGUUUGUUCAACGAUUAACAGUCCUACGUGAUCUGA
RNAcentral lists this ribosomal RNA (465 nucleotides) under Dendrelaphis ngansonensis. Its description in RNAcentral is "partial 16S ribosomal RNA". It matches the Rfam family "Bacterial large subunit ribosomal RNA", at positions 1927 to 2608 of the family's 2925-position model. The record is from RNAcentral. Lineage: Eukaryota; Metazoa; Chordata; Lepidosauria; Squamata; Colubridae.